AACGCACCUUGCGCUCCUUGGUAUUCCGAGGAGCAUGCCUGUUUGAGUGUCAUUAAAUUCUCAACCUCACCAGUUUUGUAAUGAGACGAGUGAAGGCUUGGAUGUGGGGGUUUUGCAGGCUGCCUCAGUGCUGGUCUGCUCCCCUGAAAUGCAUUAGCGAGCUCUUGUUGAGCCUCCGUCUAUUGGUGUGAUAAUUAUCUACGCCGUGGAUUUGGACUCAUGCUUGCUUCUAACCGUCCGCAAGGACAACUUAUUUGACCAAUUUGACCUCAAAUCAGGUAGGACUACCCGCUGAACUUAA
Molecule: unclassified non-coding RNA, 301 nt
Filed under: uncultured fungus
Lineage: Eukaryota; Fungi
Description: partial contains 5.8S ribosomal RNA, internal transcribed spacer 2, and large subunit ribosomal RNA
Rfam family: 5.8S ribosomal RNA (bases 1-52)
Source: RNAcentral